Molecule: long non-coding RNA, 570 nt
Organism: Homo sapiens (human)
Lineage: Eukaryota; Metazoa; Chordata; Mammalia; Primates; Hominidae
Gene: LUCAT1
Product: lung cancer associated transcript 1
Source: Ensembl
AAUCAACACUCCACUCAGACAAUGCCCAGACCUCCAGAAACCAUGUGUCAAGCUCGGAUUGCCUUAGACAGAAGCUCACCCAGCUGGAACUCUUAUGGGACCUUGGCACCAGAGACCACAAAUUCCUCUUUGAAGUUUUCUAACAGCAACAAUGGUAUUUCUGACUUGGCUUUCUUGUAUUUCUCUCACGUUAACAAAAUUGGUUCAGCAUCUACCAUGGGCUACAUGCUGAGCUACAGAGUUUCGCUCUGUCGCCCAGGCUGGAGUGCAGUGGCGCGCGAUCUCGGUUCACUGCAAGCUCCACCUCCCGGGUUCACGCCAUUCUCCUGCCUCAGCCUCCUGAGUAGCUGGGACUACAGGCGCCCGCCACCACACCCAGGAAAAACGGAGCCCGAGCAGCUAAGGAUCUUGCCCACGGUCACUGAAUUAGCAAUGCUUGUGAUGAACAUUCCCAAAGCUUUUAUGAGCUCUACGAUCUGGAAUAGGUCUCUUUGUGAUCUGUUCUCCUACUUGCUAAAUAUAUGAAAUAUUAAACUUCAUAAUCACAAAGUUUCUGUAUCCAUCUAAAAA